GGGGGCGUAUUGGUUUCGACGGGAUCAUGGGUCGUGCGAUGGCGAGCCGAGCCCCGGGCUCGUAAAACCGGGAAAGAUAUAAGUGCGAACAACAGCGCACCACAGCUUGCCCUCGCCGCUUAAGCGGUAGAGACAGCUAAAAAGCUCAGGCUACGGCCUGACGUCGAUCCUCUCCUCGACUGCGGGAGCGGAACCCGACGCUAAUACAAGCGGUCUUGCCGGUUGACGGCGUCACGGCGCCAACCGGGACCUAGACCGUGACUGGUCCCCACCGAGCCUGGUCCCAGGGCGCGGCGGGGAUGAGAUCAAUACCGGGACUACGCUCGUAGAGGUCGUGCGGAACCUGGUUCCGAACGCGGGUUCGAUCCCCGCCGCCUCCAAUU
This 383-nucleotide transfer-messenger RNA is filed under the name Chloroflexota bacterium. RNAcentral's name for it is "Chloroflexi bacterium (soil metagenome) transfer-messenger RNA". It matches the Rfam family "transfer-messenger RNA". From Rfam's summary of the family: Bacterial tmRNA, also known as 10Sa RNA or SsrA, is named for its dual tRNA and mRNA-like properties. Its role is to liberate the mRNA from a stalled ribosome. The record is from RNAcentral. RNAcentral also lists the same sequence under 2 other names. Lineage: Bacteria; Bacillati; Chloroflexota.